AGAGUUUGAUCCUGGCUCAGGACGAACGCUGGCGGUGUGCCUCACACAUGCAAGUCGAACGGGGUAGCAAUACCCAGUGGCGGACGGGUGAGUAACACGUGGGAAUCUGCCUUAGGGUGGGGGAUAGCAGACCGAAAGGUCUAUUAAUACCGCAUAUGUGUGUGCUUCGACAGUUGCACACAUAAAAAGGAGCAAUCCGC
This 200-nucleotide ribosomal RNA is filed under the name uncultured bacterium. RNAcentral describes it as "partial 16S ribosomal RNA". It matches the Rfam family "Bacterial small subunit ribosomal RNA", at positions 8 to 218 of the family's 1533-position model. The record is from RNAcentral.